AGUCGACUAGAGUUUGAUCCUGGCUCAGAUUGAACGCUGGCGGGAUGCUUUACACAUGCAAGUCGGACGGCAGCACGGACUUCGGUCUGGUGGCGAGUGGCGAACGGGUGAGUAAUGUAUCGGAACGUGCCCAGUAGCGGGGGAUAACUACGCGAAAGCGUGGCUAAUACCGCAUACGCCCUACGGGGGAAAGCGGGGGACCUUCGGGCCUCGCACUAUUGGAGCGGCCGAUAUCGGAUUAGCUAGUUGGUGGGGUAACGGCUCACCAAGGCAACGAUCCGUAGCUGGUUUGAGAGGACGACCAGCCACACUGGGACUGAGACACGGCCCAGACUCCUACGGGAGGCAGCAGUGGGGAAUUUUGGACAAUGGGGGCAACCCUGAUCCAGCCAUCCCGCGUGUGCGAUGAAGGCCUUCGGGUUGUAAAGCACUUUUGGCAGGAAAGAAACGGCGCCGGAUAAUACCUGGCGCUAAUGACGGUACCUGCAGAAUAAGCACCGGCUAACUAC
RNAcentral lists this ribosomal RNA (509 nucleotides) under uncultured bacterium. RNAcentral's name for it is "bacterial SSU rRNA". It matches the Rfam family "Bacterial small subunit ribosomal RNA", at positions 1 to 504 of the family's 1533-position model. The record is from RNAcentral.